GGUAAACACAGGCAGAUGGAUCCAGCUCCACUGAUUUUCAGCAGUGACGGAUGGCAAAGCUGUUUAGUCAUCACAGACUGGAGUUGACAUUCAAUGGAUGGUGGAAACUGGGGAGGAAAAAAUACUUGAAAGCAUGAAGAACUAACAUCAUUUAUGGCAAAGGAAAUAGUCAUAUGUGUCAUGUCCUUCUGAACAAAACGAGCAUUCUGGGAUACAAGAGUGACUUCCAGACCAACAGUAGAGCUGUGUGAGACCUCCAAAAGGUGUGCUGAGCCACCACUUCCACUGCCAAUAAGUCAAGCAAAGAAGUCGUCCCUACUUCCAGCUUGAAGAGCUCCAUAUGAUUCUAGACAAAAUAACAGCAGAGGAGGAGAAAGGAAUGAAGACCAGAGCAUUUGACUUUCACAGAUGCUGGGGACCGCUCCAGACCAAGAACUGUUGGACUUAGAAAUGGAAAACAGCAUGAGCCACAGCCCACCCAGGACUGCUCCUGCACUACUUUCCUGAGCUUUAGAACUGUGACUGUUCCACAGCUAAAUUCAGCUCUAAAGGUACUUGACAUUGCCCCUUCAAUUUCCCUUCUCUUACUACGUCUUCUCUUCACAUAAUGUUGUGUAUGAUGAAAGCUAAAUCACUGCUGAAACUCAGUGGCGAGGGCUGUCAAACACAUGGAUAUAGCCCCAUCAGUUAAGAUAUGACGACAGACCAUACAUAGAUCAUAAUGGACAACAUGUUGAAGAAGAAAAUAUACAUGAGGCUACAACCAUCUUUUCCAGAUUUGAGAUUUCCUGUCAGCCAUGACAUUUUUCAGAUGUCCACAGAUCCAAAAAUCAACCACUUCUUUCUUUCGGCACUGUGUUGGUUUUUGAACUCACAGACUGGUAUGCAUUAACAGCAGUGCUUUGUUUUAUUAAUAAGACAUUUUACAAACUCUUCAUAGUUUUAUAAAAUUUGUUUUUUUUUUAAUCAUUUAGUCCUCAAUGAAUU
RNAcentral lists this long non-coding RNA (987 nucleotides) under Gallus gallus (chicken). RNAcentral's name for it is "lncRNA (ENSGALG00010025991.1)". The record is from RNAcentral. Lineage: Eukaryota; Metazoa; Chordata; Aves; Galliformes; Phasianidae.